Abortiporus biennis is the source of this 72-nucleotide non-coding RNA. The record is from the annotation of a GenBank genome assembly. Lineage: Eukaryota; Fungi; Basidiomycota; Agaricomycetes; Polyporales; Podoscyphaceae.
UCCCGUUUAGCUCAGUGGUGGAGCGCAUCACUAGUAAUGAUGAGGUCAGUCGUUCAAGUCGGCUAAUGGGAA